AACGCGAAGAACCUUACCAAGGUUUGACAUACAGGGAAAAGCCGUAGAGAUAUGGUGUCCGUAAGGGUCCUGUACAGGUGGUGCAUGGCUGUCGUCAGCUCGUGUCGUGAGAUGUUGGGUUAAGUCCCGCAACGAGCGCAACCCUCGUUCUAUGUUGCCAGCGGGUAAUGCCGGGGACUCAUAGGAGACUGCCGGGGUCAACUCGGAGGAAGGUGGGGAUGACGUCAAGUCCUCAUGCCCCUUAUAUCUUGGGCUGCAAACAUGCUACAAUGGCCGGUACAGAGGGCUGCGAGACCGCAAGGUGGAGCGAAUCUCAAAAAGCCGGUCUCAGUUCGGAUUGGGGUCUGCAACUCGACCCCAUGAAGUCGGAGUCGCUAGUAAUCGCGAAUCAGCAACGUCGCGGUGAAUACGUUCCCGGGCCUUGUA
This 426-nucleotide ribosomal RNA is filed under the name uncultured Actinomycetes bacterium. RNAcentral describes it as "bacterial SSU rRNA". It matches the Rfam family "Bacterial small subunit ribosomal RNA", at positions 958 to 1385 of the family's 1533-position model. Lineage: Bacteria; Bacillati; Actinomycetota; Actinomycetes. The record is from RNAcentral.